This 73-nucleotide transfer RNA is filed under the name Desmophyllum pertusum. RNAcentral's name for it is "tRNA-Arg". Lineage: Eukaryota; Metazoa; Cnidaria; Anthozoa; Scleractinia; Caryophylliidae. The record is from RNAcentral.
GACGCGGUGGCCUAAUGGUUAGCGCGUUAGACUCCGGAUCGAGCGGCCUGGGUUCGAGCCCUACCCUGGGUCA